AACCUCGUGAAUCUUAUGUUUGGCCUGAAGAAAGAAUCAUAGUCAAGCAUCCACAACACUCUAGUCUUGCCACGGGAACACAGUAAGGUAGAUAAUGCAGAACUGGUAUCAAAUGGGACUAGAGAAGCGAAUUCUACAGUCCAUGUUGUUUUUUGCUUUACUGAUGUCUGGUAAUUUUGGGAUAAAAUUAGGAUUUGUGAGUUUAUCAUUUCAAGUAGGUACACAAUAUGUACACUGUUAUACUCAUUCUAGAGCUAGGCCACAUUUGUUUACAAAAUCAUUGCAGAAAAAGGAAUUGGAAUACGGAAUUUUUGAGUACACAUUCAGAAAUAUUUAUAAAGUCCCAUAUCGAGGAAUGUACAGUAAGAAAGUGAAACACAAUAUUAAUUCAAUUGAAGGUCCGUAGUGAAAAUACUGGCCUUUGGGAAGCAGAGAAGAGAAACAAAAUUGAACUGUAUUUCACGAAAUGUACCUGGGAAUAACAUUAAUAUCCAAAAGAAUCCCAUCCAUUCUAUGUUAAAAGACCUUUUCUACCCAUUCCAAGCCCUUGACUAACUUUUUCUGUUCAGAGCAUGUAAUCUCAUAUAAAGCAAAGCGAAAUCUAUAGUUUUACAGAGAUGGAGGAUAUAAAGGUUUCCACUGUUUCACAGGAGACAUAUCAGGAAAGGACACCCUCAAAUAUGGUCAAUGUAAGGAAAGCUGUUCAGCAGGUAGGCCAUGGCAGUUCUCAGUGAUAUCAUCAUUAGGCCUUGCCUGAAAAAUCUCUUGUAACCUGGAGAGAUUUUUCUUCUGUGAUGUCACAAUUGUUGUCAUGACUUCAUCUGCAUCUCAGGUAUUCCUUCAGUACCUCUAGGGUUCAGUAAUAGGCAUCUAAUUCAGAAUAAACAUCCAUUUGGGAGUAAGAACAAAGAGGAUGAAAAGAUCAGAAAUGGGUAGAAGGAAACUGCCAUUCUGUCUUUGUCUAAAAAAGAUUGCUGAAUUCCUGGUGAUAUUAUGGUUCCUGAGUCUUCUGCCGUGCUUCUUUGCUCCAAUUGGUAUCAUCCCAAUAUAUGUGUAUUCACUUGCGCUUUAUGGGUUUAUGCACUUCUUUCUUAUCAACCCCCCAAAAAACUUUCUACUAUAAAUCCAGAUUUUGGUUGUUUAAACUUCUGAACCAGAAUUUUGCAACAGAAAUACAUACAGAGUGCAAGCCACUGUUCAGUGCAUUCCUGCUUGGCUUCGCUUCAUCCAGUGCCUGUGCUGGUACCGUGACACAAGAAGAGCCUUUCCUCUUCCAGUAAAUGCUGCCUGGCAAAUACUCUACAACUUUCUUCACCCUGACAUUUCCAGCCCUUUACAACACUCACAAAGGUAGGCUGAGGUCUCCCAUCUGAGCCCUUACUACUGCAUUCUGUUGCCCUGGACUCUGCCGUCGCUGCUGCUGGUUCUGCUGAGGCUUCAGAACCCGGACAUCUCACUUUAGCCUUGAAUAUAGUUUUAAUCUCAUUUCAAUUAACAGUUAUUAUCACUAAGAUUUUCAGUCAAUUGGUUAGAAUUGUGAUGCUGUUUCAAUCCUGUCUGUUGCUCAGUGGCUUUAACCUAUGGGUGCGUUGGGUUUUAAUUUAGUGGUUUAGAGUGUUUUUUUUUUCUGUUUGUUUUUGAGGAUUUUUUGUUGUUUUUCCUUGGGGGGGUUGGGGAGGUUGAAAUUUCCUUGUUUAUUAGUGAAGUUAAGAAAUGGUUAGGUGCACAAGAAUCCCUCUUCCAACCAAGUAUUUAAUAUUUAAGUAUUUUCUUUGAUGAACAUGUAAGGAUUGUUUACAGCCCAUUUAACUGCAAAUUGAGUUCUCUGAUCGCUUCAGUUUCUCAUUUCUAUGGAAUCCUGCUAUGACUUGCUACUGAUCUUCUGUUGGGAAUAGAAAAAAAAAAGUCUUUUAAGUUUAGAACCAAAUGCAGACACUCAGUUUGAAUUUUUACCAUUUCCCAUGAACUGUCAUUGAUUUUCCAUCCUUGCACUAAAAUGUAUUCCUUCUUUGUCUGCUGAGUAGAGAGUAUCAGCCCACACCUUACAAAGUGCAAAGAGCUUUGACUAAUGCAGAUUAGUAAAGAGCUUUUUAAAUACGCACGUAAAUUGUUCUCAGUAAACUUUUCUGUGCGGCUCUAUUGGGAGAUAUAUUCAGAAGUACAAAACUACUGUUGCUGUAAUAUGUAUCUGAUGCCAUGUCAGAUGAGGUCACUGUUAGUUCCGUGAUAUUGGUGUCCCUGAACUUUCAGAGUAUGACAUAGGGUCUGUGCUAGAAUAGUAAUGAUAAAUGUAGCCAUUCUUGUUAAGUGUUAGAAUUUAAUUGAGUACCUCAGUGAAGGAAACACAUCCACAGGAAUUCCAUAAUUUUAGUUCUUGCUAAGGAAUGCCAGUACUCAAUACCAGUAUGCACCUUGAUUUAUAGAUUUGACAGUUGAUUUGGAAAAAAAGAUGUGAUAUGGCUUCUUUUACUAAAUUAUCAGAAACAUCUGCCUCCUGUCUUAGAUAUAAAUGAGUGCUGGGGUAGAUUAUACUAGUAAUAUAUUUAUUAGGAAGUUAAAAUUGCUGGAAGGUACUAUUGACACAAAAUACAGCACUUACCUCAGGAAAUAAGGAAUAGUUAAUUCUUGAGGCAAACCUAAGUGCUAGUAGCCUGGGAGCACAGACUCAGGUUAUAACCACUGGAGGUGAUUACAUAAUAUUUUAUUUGAUACAAAACAAAGAGAAACAUAAAUAAGUGCAUUUAUCACAUUGAUGAUCACUGCCAAUAAGUAGGCUACAGCAAAACAAGUGGAACUCUGUAUAAAUCUAGGAUGUCUGAUAACAUGUUUAGCUUUCAGAUUGGUAAAGGAUGGUGCCCUGCUGAGCAUACAUUUUAGGGCUGUAGUGAAUUUGGUCCCCAACACCCAUGUAAAGGCUGUGAAAGGCAGCAAACACCUAUAACUCGAGCUCUGGGAAGAUAGACACUGUGACUUACUUGCCACUCCUAUUAUGGUAUCAUUGAGCUGCAGAUUCAAUCAGAGACCUUGUCAAAAAAAUAGGGUGGAGAAUGCCUGGGAAGACACUGAUACCAAGCUUCCCACACACAGAGAAAACAUUUGACAGAUUUGGAUAGUCACAGGCCCAUUCAGAUAAAGGAGUGAACAGUGAGUGACUUUCAAAGGGAAAGUCUAAGGUAGUCUGGUUAGGUUCUUCACACCAUCUUCAAUCACGAAGCUCGUUAUUGAGACUCAGCCUUGAGGAACUUAUGUUUACAUAAAGACCUUUAACAACACAAAAGGAUUACAAGUCCAAGCCUGUCUUAUUUACAGAGUGAGUUCAGGCCAAUCUGGCCGCAUAAUAAAAUCCUGUCCCAAAAUAAGUAAUAUAUAGCUUACCUCUAAUUCAUAGAACUCUGUGGUCUGUCCUUAGCACGAUGUAAGAAGAAUUACAAAGAAGGUUGGGAUGAGCCAGUAAAAAUGGCUUCACAAGUAAAGGCACCUGAAGCAAAACUUGACAGCCUGAGUUCAGUCCCUGAGCACGAUGGUAGAGAAAAAGAACUACCUCCAUCAGGUUGUUUUCUGACCUCUGUGUUUGAACAGUUGGACUAUGAGGAAAUGGAUGCUUUGUCCCCAGUAUCACAGGGGGCGGGGGUAUGUGAACAGAACUUUGAGCCAACAUAAUUUACCUAUACAUGAAGCAGUCCUGUACUAGUAAAUACAUAUAUUUCCUAUUCAAGUAUAGUUUAAAUUGGUACAGUUUUACAUUGAUA
Non-coding RNA from Rattus norvegicus (Norway rat), 3749 nucleotides. The record is from RefSeq and is a predicted model, not a curated record. Lineage: Eukaryota; Metazoa; Chordata; Mammalia; Rodentia; Muridae.